Molecule: long non-coding RNA, 1468 nt
Filed under: Ovis aries (sheep)
Lineage: Eukaryota; Metazoa; Chordata; Mammalia; Artiodactyla; Bovidae
Description: lncRNA (ENSOARG00000026394.1)
Source: RNAcentral
AUGGAUCCUGAUUUUUCCCCUGUGCUCCUGCAGAAAGUAUACCGUGUAGGGUGCUGGAGACGCACUGGAGAAAUGAAGCAUACCCUGUAUAUACAGAAAUCAUGCUGGAGAAGGCUUUUGAGAAUCCCACGGACAGCAAGGAGAUCAAACCAGUCAAUCCUAAAGGAAAUCAACCCUGAAUACUCAUUGGAAGGGCUGAUGCUGAAGUUGCAGUACUUGGGCCACCUGAUGCAAAGAGCCAGUUCACUGGAAAAGACCCUGAUGCUGGGAAAGACUGAAGGCAGGAGGAGAAGGGGACGACAGAGGAUGAGAUGGUUGGAUGGCGUCAUUGACUCAGUGGACAUGAGUUUGAGCAAACUCCAGGAGAUGGUGAAGGGCAGGGAAGCCUGGAGUGCUGCAGUUAACGGGGUUGCAAAGCGUCAGACACGACCAAGCAACUGAACAACAGCAGAAAUUAUUGGAAGUGUAAGAGGAAGAAAGUGAAAGUGAAGUCACUCAGUCGAUAAGAGGAAGAAAGUGAAAGUGAAGUCACUUAGUCGUGUCCGACUCUUUGCGACCCCCUGGACUGUAGCCUAUCAGGCUCCUCCAUCCAUGGGAUUUUCCAGGCAAGAGUGCUGGAGUGGAUUGCCAUUUCCUUCUCCAGGGGAUCUUACCAACUCAGAAAUCGAACCCAGGUCUCCUGCAUUGCAGGCAGACGCUUUACCUUCUGAGACACCAGGGAAGCCCCAACAGUAUCAUCAAUACCUUCUCCAUGUGGCCAGCUUCUGGUUCUUGCUGGACUAUUUUGGUAAAAUAUUGGUAAAUGGCAGGUCAUGAGAAUAUAGUACAGGCUUUUCCAUAGAUUAGUGGUUUCCAUAUUUGCGCCUCCUCAGAUUCACCUGGGGCAGAUGAAACACACUCCGAGUUGCUAAUAUGCCCUUGGAGAUCCUGAAAUUCAGGAGAGAGUCCCAGGGGAAUGUGUUUUGAAAGCAUCUCAGGUGAUUCUAAUCAGAGCUGGAGACCGCCACCGUACCAUUCAAAUGAAAUUUCUAGACUCAUUCAUCAUGUAACAGUGCUGAAAAAUGUCAUUUUCUCAGCGAGAGAAUUUUUUUUCCCUCCUUUAGGUUGGAAGAAUAUUUGAUAAACCAGUGGGCAAGGUCGGGAAAUGCUCAAGGGAGAUGUCUAAGAUACAAAAGAUGACUUUUAGCUUUAUUUCAAACUUUCAUCUCACUGGAUGGGGUAUGUUACACACACAAAAAGAGAAUUUCUGAAUGGUGGAAGAUCCCCUGCAGGAGGGCAUGGCAACCCCCUCCAGGAUUCUUGUCUAGAGAAUGCCAUGGACAGAGGAGCCUGGAGGGCUACAGUCUACUGGGUCACAACGGAGUCAGACGCGACUGAAGCUAAUCAGCAUACGUGCAUCUGCAGAUGGCAAGGAAACAAAGGCAAAGGCAAAGGGUUCUCGGGUCACCUAGUUCAGAACCUGCUGCCU